Molecule: transfer RNA, 69 nt
Filed under: Sphaerodactylus townsendi
Lineage: Eukaryota; Metazoa; Chordata; Lepidosauria; Squamata; Sphaerodactylidae
Description: tRNA-Ala
Source: RNAcentral
GCUGUGGCUUAGUGGUAGAACAUCUAUUUGGCAUGCAGAAGGUCCCAGUUUCAAGCCCCAGCAUCUACA